UUCUUUAAGUAUUUAAUUUAAAGUAAAACCUGCUCAAUGACAAGAAUAAAUAGCCGCAGUUUACUGUGCUAAGGUAGCAUAAUAAUUUGCUCUAUAAUUAAGAGAUAGAAUGAAAGGUUCAACAUUAGAAAUAUGUUUCUAUUUUAAAAAUUAAAUUAAGAAAAAAGUAAAAACUCUUUUAAUAAAAAACAAGACGACAAGACCCUGAUAAACUUAAUAAUUAGUUGGGGAAACAAAAUAAUAAAAUUUUAUAAUAAUAUAAACACAACUUUAAAAUAAAAUAAAGAUUAGUUACUACAGGGAUAACAGCGUUAUUUUCUUCUAGAGCCCUUAUCUAAAAGAAAGAUUACGACCUCGAUGUUGAAUUAAUUAUCCUAUAUUUAACGCAAAAGUUACAAAAGGUAGUCUGUUCGACUAUUAAAAAAUU
RNAcentral lists this ribosomal RNA (427 nucleotides) under Pholcus negara. RNAcentral's name for it is "partial 16S ribosomal RNA". Lineage: Eukaryota; Metazoa; Arthropoda; Arachnida; Araneae; Pholcidae. The record is from RNAcentral.